CUCAGAAUCAACGCUGGCGGCGUGCCUAACACAUGCAAGUCGAACGCGAAAGCCCCUUUCGGGGGGUUAGUAGAGUGGCGUCCGGGUGAGUAACACGUGGGUAAUCUGCCUUCGGGUGGGGAAUAACCCAGGGAAACUUGGGCUAAUACCGCAUAAUGCAGCGGCACCUAAUGGUGAUUAGUUGUUAAAGCGGGGGAUCGCAAGACCUCGCGCCUGAAGAGGAGCCUGCGGCAGAUUAGCUAGUUGGUGAGGUAAUGGCUCACCAAGGCUUCGAUCUGUAGCUGGUCUGAGAGGACGGCCAGCCACACUGGCACUGACACACGGGCCAGACUCCUACGGGAGGCAGCAGUGGGGAAUUUUGGGCAAUGGGCGAAAGCCUGACCCAGCAACACCGCGUGAGGGAGGAAAUCCUUCGGGAUGUAAACCUCACAAGCAAGGGAAGAGAGCUGCGGGCUGAAUAAUCCCGUAGUGCGACGGUACCUUGCGUAAGCCACGGCUAACUACGUGCCAGCAGCCGCGGUAAUACGUAGGUGGCAAGCGUUGUUCGGAAUUAUUGGG
RNAcentral lists this ribosomal RNA (558 nucleotides) under uncultured bacterium. RNAcentral's name for it is "bacterial SSU rRNA". It matches the Rfam family "Bacterial small subunit ribosomal RNA", at positions 23 to 558 of the family's 1533-position model. The record is from RNAcentral.